This 565-nucleotide long non-coding RNA is filed under the name Elaeis guineensis (African oil palm). RNAcentral describes it as "long non-coding RNA (EGUI_LNC078553)". The record is from RNAcentral. Lineage: Eukaryota; Viridiplantae; Streptophyta; Magnoliopsida; Arecales; Arecaceae.
AUUAAUUGAGUUGCGAAGCCAAUUGGAUUGGAGUUCAUCCUACUUUCCUGCGGCAUCUGACGUGCAUGCGAAGUAGAAGGUCUGCAUAUCCAGGCCUCUGUGAAGGUUAUAUCAGAUAAUUUGGGAUUUGAUCCCUCAUUCUGCUGUGAUUCAGGUAAGAAUUUGAUCCAUAAACAAGUAGAAUGUUAGAGAAAAUUUUUAGAUGCAACUUGAGCAUUCUGAUACAAAACUGUUCCCUUUCCUUCAUUAUCAUUAAGUGAAAGAAAUAAAAGACCAUUAUCAAUAAAAGUAUUUCCAUAAUACUCGUUAGAAAAGUAAAUAGAACAACUAUUGUUCUUUAUAUUUAUUUUAAAAUCUUGUUCCAAUAACAAUGGUACUGAAAUAAUAUUUCUAACAAUAUUAAAAAUAUAAUAACAGACCUUUAGUUUCAAAACUUUGCCCGAAGGCAACUUCAAAACCCUGGUUCCUGCUUUGACCUGAAUGGACUUUCCACUAGUGCCAACAGCUCGAAGUCACCUUUAUUCAGACUCUUUAUUUCCUGUAGACUUUGCAACGAUUUGCAUAG